GCACACGUAGCUCAGUAGGAUAGAGCGCUCCCCUCCUAAGGGAGAGGCCGUGGGUUCGACUCCCGCCGCGUGCA
Molecule: non-coding RNA, 74 nt
Organism: Clostridiales bacterium GWD2_32_59
Lineage: Bacteria; Bacillati; Bacillota; Clostridia; Eubacteriales
Source: Rfam